Molecule: long non-coding RNA, 1046 nt
Filed under: Papio anubis (olive baboon)
Lineage: Eukaryota; Metazoa; Chordata; Mammalia; Primates; Cercopithecidae
Description: lncRNA (ENSPANG00000040370.1)
Source: RNAcentral
GAUUUAGGAAACUGAUGGAAGAUGAAGUAGUCAUUUAAGUAGGGUGUUUUCAUUUCACAGUUGAGAAAACCGAAGCCCAGAGAGGUUAAAACUGUAACUACUUUAAAAUUUUAUAUAGUAAUUUUAAUGUGGGCUUCAUUUUUCUUUCUGUCUCAUCCCCUAGAUAUUGUUGUCUCAAUGUUAGGAAUAAUAUUUAUAGCAUGUAUUAUCAUAAUCAUACUUAGGAAUACAUCCUAAUUAUGUCAAGAACUACAAACAGAAUUUACAUUUAUCUGGUAUUUAUUGUUGCUGUUUGACUUAGGAAUUACUGGAAAAUAAAGUGAAAAAAUUCAGAUUCUGAUUUCUGCGUGGAUCUUCUGGCUAGACAGGUUGAAAGAAAGAAGUAUGCCAACAAUAUCUUUCAUUCCAUAUGCUCUUCCAGACCCUUACGAUUCCUCCAUCAAGAUGUAGACUCUAAUUCCUCCUCCUUUGAACCUGGGUACACUUUUAUGACGGUUUGAAAGAAUGCAACAUCCUGGAAGUGAUGCCAUAUGACUUCUGAGGCUAGUUUGUAAAAGGUCAUGCAAUUUCUGCUGUCGUCACUGAAUACUUGCCCUUGAAGCCUGCAGCCAUGUUAGCAGCCCAGUUGCCCUGGAGAAACCAAAACUAGCUUACAUGGAAAGACCACACAGAGAGGUCCUGCAACUGCAGUCCCCAACGGCUCCACCUUCCUGCUCUUCCAAAGCCAGACCCUGUUUUACACAAUAUCCGGAGAGAGAGCGAGAGAUUCCUAUAGAAUACAAGACAAGACUAUCACAAUGGUGAGUAAUAACAAGAUAAAAUCAAACAUAUCUUCCUCUGUUGAGUGUGGGGAAACAUUGGCGAGGUUGAUACAAGCUUAACUAUAGAUGCUUUGAAAGGAUCCGCCGAUGUUUAACACGUGGAGGGAAAAUAUUGCUGCAAGCUCCAAUUCUAAGCGGCUGUGGAUGAAUGAGGUAAGAGAGGUGGAGAAUGGAGAAAGGAGAAUGUGUUCUCCUCUCCAUAAUUAAAAGUGAAAGGAGCUUGUG